GAGUUUGAUCCUGGCUCAGAUUGAACGCUGGCGGCAGGCCUAACACAUGCAAGUCGAGCGGCAGCAGCUCCUUCGGGAGGCUGGCGAGCGGCGGACGGGUGAGUAAUGCAUGGGAACUUACCAGUAGUGGGGGAUAGCCCGGGGAAACCCGGAUUAAUACCGCAUACGCCCUGAGGGGGAAAGCGGGCUCCGGCUCGCGCUAUUGGAUGGGCCCAUGUCGGAUUAGUUAGUUGGUGGGGUAACGGCCUACCAAGGCGACGAUCCGUAGCUGGUCUGAGAGGAUGAUCAGCCACACCGGGACUGAGACACGGCCCGGACUCCUACGGGAGGCAGCAGUGGGGAAUAUUGGACAAUGGGGGCAACCCUGAUCCAGCCAUGCCGCGUGUGUGAAGAAGGCCUUCGGGUUGUAAAGCACUUUCAGCAGGGAGGAAAAGCUGGCGGUUAAUACCCGUUAGUGUUGACGUACCUGCA
Molecule: ribosomal RNA, 471 nt
Filed under: uncultured bacterium
Lineage: Bacteria
Description: bacterial SSU rRNA
Rfam family: Bacterial small subunit ribosomal RNA
Source: RNAcentral